Cyprinus carpio (common carp) is the source of this 690-nucleotide long non-coding RNA. The record is from Ensembl. NCBI's taxonomy places the organism in Eukaryota, Metazoa, Chordata, Actinopteri, Cypriniformes, Cyprinidae.
AUGCUGAUUGAAAAUGUCAGUGAGAGAUUUCCAAACAAGGGCAGUCUCAAUCAUUUCUGUGUCAUGACACCAAGGUCUAUCCUCACUAGCCCUGAACCAAAUUAUGGUGAUGAGGAUAUUAUGAAAGCUCUUGCAAAAGAGAUUCCCAGGUUGUCUGAGGAGCCACUGCAAGCCGAGUGGGACACCUUCAAACAGAGAGUUAGGAGUCCAGAUUUAAAGAUGAAAUCACUAGAGGAGACAUUUCUAUGGCUUGUUUCUGAGGAUGUCAGGGACAUUUACCCAUCCCUGAGUUUAGCUGCAGCUAUAGCCCUAACAGCACCUGUCCAGACUGUGGAUGUAGAGAGGCUAUUCUCAUCCCUGAAUUUGGUGAAAACAGCUUUGAGGAACAGACUGAAGGACCAACAUUUAGACGUAUGCUGCAAGGUGGCUGUGGAUGGGCCCCAUCAGGAUGAAAUCGACUACAGAGAUCUUGUAAAAAGGUUCUACAGUGUUAAUAAAAAGAGACGAGUUAAAUGUUCAUCUGCAGGCUGUGAUAUUUGUAAAUCGAUAAAUUGUGAUACCUUUGACAUUUCAAAUCUACUUUGGUAUCGAUGAUGUUUACAUGUAAAAUAAGUUGUAAUCGCUUUCUUUUACUAUCUAGCCUGACAGUGAUCGUUUUUUAUGAAUAAAUAGGAUAAGAAAAAAAAAUCA